AUCAGUAGCUGGUCUGAGAGGAUGAUCAGCCACACUGGGACUGAGACACGGCCCAGACUCCUACGGGAGGCAGCAGUGGGGAAUAUUGGACAAUGGGCGCAAGCCUGAUCCAGCCAUGCCGCGUGAGUGAUGAAGGCCUUAGGGUUGUAAAGCUCUUUUAUCCGGGACGAUAAUGACGGUACCGGAGGAAUAAGCCCCGGCUAACUUCGUGCCAGCAGCCGCGGUAAUACGAAGGGGGCUAGCGUUGCUCGGAAUCACUGGGCGUAAAGGGCGCGUAGGCGGCGUUUUAAGUUGGGGGUGAAAGCCUGUGGCUCAACCACAGAAUUGCCUUCGAUACUGGGACGCUUGAGUGUGGUAGAGGUUGGUGGAACUGCGAGUGUAGAGGUGAAAUUCGUAGAUAUUCGCAAGAACACCGGUGGCGAAGGCGGCCAACUGGACCAUCACUGACGCUGAGGCGCGAAAGCGUGGGGAGCAAA
This 476-nucleotide ribosomal RNA is filed under the name Methylobacterium komagatae. RNAcentral describes it as "bacterial SSU rRNA". It matches the Rfam family "Bacterial small subunit ribosomal RNA", at positions 279 to 772 of the family's 1533-position model. The record is from RNAcentral. Lineage: Bacteria; Pseudomonadati; Pseudomonadota; Alphaproteobacteria; Hyphomicrobiales; Methylobacteriaceae.